Molecule: ribosomal RNA, 503 nt
Filed under: uncultured bacterium
Lineage: Bacteria
Description: bacterial SSU rRNA
Rfam family: Bacterial small subunit ribosomal RNA
Source: RNAcentral
GAUGAACGCUAGCGGCAGGCCUAAUACAUGCAAGACGAACGGUAAGUUGAGUAGCAAUACUUAGCCAAGAGUGUCGUACGGGUGCGUAACACGUAUGCAACCUACCCUAUACAGGAGGAUAGCCUAGGGAAACCUGGAUUAACCCUUCAUAGUAUUAUUGGAUGGCAUCAUUUGAUAAUUAAAACUGAGGUGGUAUAGGAUGGGCAUGCGUCUGAUUAGUUAGUUGGCGGGGUAAUGGCCCACCAAGACGAUGAUCAGUAGGGGUUCUGAGAGGAAGAUCCCCCACACUGGCACUGAGAUACGGGCCAGACUCCUACGGGAGCAGCAGUAGGGAAUAUUGGGUCAAUGGAUGCAAGUCUGAACCAGCCAUGCCGCGUGCAGGAAGAAGGCCCUUUCUGGGGUUGUAAAACUGCUUUUGCCAGGGGAUAAAUUUCCAUGCGUGGAAAACUGAAGGUACCUGGUGAAUAAGCCACGGCUAACUACGUGCCAGCAGCCGCGGUAAU